Molecule: ribosomal RNA, 253 nt
Filed under: uncultured bacterium
Lineage: Bacteria
Description: partial 16S ribosomal RNA
Rfam family: Bacterial small subunit ribosomal RNA
Source: RNAcentral
UACGUAGGGGGCUAGCGUUGUCCGGAUUUAUUGGGCGUAAAGAGCGUGUAGGCGGCCUGGCAGGUCAGCUGUGAAAACUCGAGGCUCAACCUCGAGACGUCGGUUGAAACCACCUGGCUAGAGUCCGGAAGAGGAGAGUGGAAUUCCCGGUGUAGCGGUGAAAUGCGCAGAUAUCGGGAAGAACACCCGUGGCGAAGGCGGCUCUCUGGGACGGUACUGACGCUGAGACGCGAAAGCGUGGGGAGCGAACAGG